Molecule: long non-coding RNA, 285 nt
Filed under: Setaria viridis
Lineage: Eukaryota; Viridiplantae; Streptophyta; Magnoliopsida; Poales; Poaceae
Description: long non-coding RNA (SVIR_LNC005672)
Source: RNAcentral
GCGAAUAUUUGUCUUGUGGACCCGAGUGAGUCGGACCCCCGUGCCCAAGGUCGGGCGAGGCGGAGUUUUGCGGCAGGGGUCGGGCGCUCCCGACCUCGGUCCUCUGGGUCGGGUGAGGCGGAGUUUAGUCUUCAAGGGGUCAGGAACGUCCGACCCCGGGACUCCGGGUCGGGCGAGGCGGAACGUGGCCUCUCCCUCCCAUAUUGGGCCGACGACAACCUAGCCACCUUAGAUGGGCCCGGGCCUUUAUGUUUUGUUGAUUCCAUGGGCUAGGGGAGAUCGUUA